Triticum urartu is the source of this 2786-nucleotide long non-coding RNA. RefSeq lists it as uncharacterized. The record is from RefSeq and is a predicted model, not a curated record. Lineage: Eukaryota; Viridiplantae; Streptophyta; Magnoliopsida; Poales; Poaceae.
UUGGCCUUCAAGCGAGAAAAUAGCACGGCGGCCUGUCCUCUCCUCUGCGUACGCACAACAUCACGGGGUCUUCUUCCUGGGGACGGCACGGCACAGCACCGCCGCCAUGAAUCCCGCCUCCACGCGUGGCUCGUCUACCUCUCCAGCUACCCUCCAGCAGCGCCGCUGUUGCCCUGUUCUUCCCUUCCUCACCCGCCCAACUCCUCACCCCUAGCCUCCUUUUCCUCAAGGCGGACGUCUCCGAUUUGGAUAGGAUUCGAUGGCGUGUUCAUGCCACCACGCGCGACCGGUCUUCCUCUCCAGCUACCUUCCAGCGGCGCCGUCGUUGCCCUGUUCUUCCCCUCCUCACCCGCCCCAACUCCUCACCCCCAGCCUCCUCCGCCUCGAGGCAGACGUCUCCGAUUUGGAUCUCAAGUACUGGCUCCCCGACACCUCCAUCCCCUUCUCUGCCAUGGAUUUGUAUGCUUGCAGAUUUGGAUUGGAGUGCAACUGAGAUGAGGAAGGACAAAUCAUGAACAGCUCAAGUGAGAGCGAACGGAUAUGAACACCACAACCCUCUCAGGGGAUGUUGGCUGAUCAGGAUACCCAAUACUCAAACAAGCAUGCUGAGAUGCUCUAGAUAUGGAAGUUUACCCCCAAGCUUGACCACCAGGUUUUUUUGGUUCAUGUUCAAUGGGAGGUGAAGAGUGUCGAGCGGGUAUCUGAUGCAGGUCCAAGGUAAACUCUAUUUUGCUUCUUUUAUUGUGUUUAGAUGAACAUGUCAAAGAUGCAGAUGGACAUGAUGAAGCCGUGAAUUUUCACAAAGGUCACUGAGCUUCUUGGGUUCGACAAACUACCUAACUGCUAUUAACCUAAAUUUAGUUUCAUCUGAACUAAGAGGACCACCUGUGCUUCCUCUAACAGAAUUACUCAUUUGGUGUUCUUUUGCACUAUUUAUUUUUGUUCAAAUUGGUGUGAGUGCGACCUCUUUGUCAAUUUAGAUAAGCCUUUCUGUAUCACAUGGAUGUGACCUAUAGUAUGGUGUAGAAAAGUGAUGAAAGGUAUUCGUUGGAAUUAAUUUGGCAGCAAUAGUUUAUCAAGUUUUUGCCUAGCUAGCUAUUUCUAGAAUUUCUGCAGUUGUACUUUUGUGCCAUCUCCCUCAUGUAGAUAUAUAUAUAUAUAUACACUAGCAGACUAGCAAGUAAAUUAUUUACAUCAAAACUGAGAUGUAUCUAUCUAUGAUGAAGGCAUUUUUUUUCUUUAUCUUCAGCAGUACCUCUUGCUGCUAUAAAGAAAGUAGGAACAUGGUUGAUAAAUAAUCAGAUUGUUCUGCCCAUUUUUCAUUUCACAAUCCAUUACAAUUACUAUGUCCUUGCAAUCAUACCAUUACACAUAAGCUACCCAGAUUUGGAACCCAACCAAAGAACAAUCAAGUUUGAUUCGUGCUGUUAUUGGGCCUUGCUGCGACGCUGAUACUUUUGGGCAAAGUUGCGCAGAAUCUACUCAUGCUUAUAAAACAAGUUUGUUAACAGAUUAAAUAGUCCCACCUUGCUUCUUACACAUAAUUCUAUGAAGUUAAAAAACACUAAUUCUAUCAAUUUAUAUAUGCAUGUAAGUAUGAGAACUAACAAGCAGCCUGAGAAUAGUAUUGUAUUUAGUUUUCUGGAAGGAUGCAAAAGUAAUAUUGGGCUUCCUGUGUAUACUGAUUGCUAAAGGAUGCAAUAGUAUUUGUAUGCUGGGGAAGUGUCAUUCCCUCUGUUUACUGAUGGACCUCACCCUCUUAAGAGAUCUAACCCUUGUCACUGUAAGGAAAAAAGCAAAGAGUAUUAUGACGCCAUAAAGUUUGAAUUCAGAUAAGUAUAUGCUGAAGAACACCAGAAUUAGUCUUCAUGAACCAGCGUCGCCUUGUUGAUGAUGCUUCACAUGUAAGUUUUCUGGUCCUUUGACAAGGUCUUAUAAUUAUUCAGAGGUGAUGUCAAAUGGUGCGUACCAUUUUUUAUUUUAAUUUUCUUGAAUUGUUAAGUUGAGAACUGAUGCUUGCAUUUCCAUGUGGGAAAAAGAGAGGAGAAAGUGAUGGAUUUGAGCUUUGGCGGAACAUUAUUACUGUCUAGAAAAUUCAUAGCAACAGGGCCAAUGGUUGAACAUAUAAAUCUUUUUGAAGUAAAUUCUUCUAUAACUCUCAGUCUCGGUACUACCUUGUUUAUUUAUACUUAGAGGACCAGAGGGCAAAAUCCAAAGCAAAGCCCUACACAUGUCUGGGCAUCCGGCGCAUGGCUGUGAUUUGAGCAAUUUUAGGCCAUUAAGCAUCAUCUUCAUGCAGCUCCUGCCCAAAAGGAGCAACUGCAUUUUGUCUAUAAUGCAUCUUUGACUGAAAUUCCCGUUUCUAUUUUUUGCAGAGCGCUCACAAAUUAAACAACCUAUGAAAUUGCCAGAAGGGACCAGAUAUCCUUCUUGGUAUGUGGUUUUAGAAGCGACUUAUGUUCAGCUUGCUGUGAAUUUUAUGAUUUAUCACUGCUAUACUGUUAACUACUUAACUCGAUACUAAAACAUUGGAGCCGUAGUAUGUGCAGAGGAAUUUCGGACAGGCUUCAUCAAUUCAGUAAAGGCUUAUGUAGAAACAUCUAUGACUUCACUAGAGAGUGGAUUUGCAUUCGAGGAGCAGCUUGAGCAGCUUUGCGCACAUGCCUAGACCUACUUUCAUGUCGGUGCUGUUGAUAUGUGUUGUUCUGUGUCAGUCUUUACCUCUAGCGUGUGAUGUAAUCCAUUUCCAAACGUUUUCUAAUAGAUGUUCAUUGAACUUAUUGUCA